GUCGAGAAUUUUUCACAAUGGGCGAAAGCCUGAUGGAGCGACGCCGCGUGGGGGAUGAAUGGCUUCGGCCCGUAAACCCCUGUCAUUUGCGAUCAACCGUUAUUAUUUAAAAGAUGAUAACCUGAUAGUAGCGAAAGAGGAAGGGACGGCUAACUCUGUGCCAGCAGCCGCGGUAAUACAGAGGUCCCGAGCGUUGUUCGGAUUCACUGGGCGUAAAGGGUGCGUAGGUGGUGAGGUAAGUCGGAUGUGAAAUCUCCGGGCUCAACCCGGAAACUGCAUUGGAUACUACCUUGCUUGAGGGUUGGAGGGGGGACUGGAAUGCUUGGUGUAGCAGUGAAAUGCGUAGAUAUCAAGCGGAACACCAGUGGCGAAGGCGAGUCCCUGGACAACUCCUGACACUGAGGCACGAAAGCUAGGGGAGCAAACAGGAUUAGAUACCCUAGUAGUCC
RNAcentral lists this ribosomal RNA (449 nucleotides) under uncultured bacterium. RNAcentral describes it as "bacterial SSU rRNA". It matches the Rfam family "Bacterial small subunit ribosomal RNA", at positions 354 to 796 of the family's 1533-position model. The record is from RNAcentral.